CGCCCCAUCCGCACCGUCACCGCCCGUGACACACUUGAGGGUUGUGUGCCCAACCCCCCCCCCACACACACACACCACACCACCCACUCGCGGUGUUCCACGGCAGAAAUGUACAGCGGCUGCACCGCGGCACGGCAAACACACCUGCUCUCCCCCACGCUGCCGCAGUCGAGCAGGAACGGCUCCGUAGCCACGGAUCCACCGUCGACCGUCUUCGUUUCACCGCGCACCUCUUCGAUGCACCGGUCACCGCUCGCUUCCUUCGAAGAGGCCCAGGAGGGCGACGGCGAGCGUGCGCCGCACAACUCGCGUUAUGCCAGCAGCACCAAUAGACCGCGUUCGUCUACCUUCAUACACUCGGUGUCGGCAUACCUGUCCACAGCAACGGGCAAGCGCGGUGCGAGCUCGGCGGCGACGACGGUGCGGGCAUCGUUGGCGAACGGCAGCAGUAUCACCGGCAACUCAGCAUCGAAACCGCGGCAGUCGCGGCAUCAGCCCAGCCUAAUCAUCGCCAGUGGCUGCAGUGGGGGCGCGGUGCACACGCGUCCCGCCGCCUGCAGUAAAUGGAUCUCCGGGCCACCCGCCACAGCAGCAGCAGCAGCGCCACCAAAGGGAGCCGCAGCAAGCCCUGUGGCCAGCCCAACUUCCCCUAUCCCCUCUUCUAAUGCGGCAGCGGCACCGCGGAAGCAGCCGAAUCGGAAGAAGAGCGUCGCGUCGCCGACCGUAGCUUCGAAGCGUCUUGCAACGUACACGGCCACAGCCACCACCACGAGGUGCGGCACCCUGGCCCCGGGGGUGCAUGAAGACUCCUACACGAAGCUGGAGAGCCCGAAGGGCCGGAUGCCUGAGUCGGACUUGAACGACGCCAACGAGGGCGUGGACUGGGCCUGUGUGAAUGUCGGCCUCGGUGAUCUGGUGCUGGAGAGCAUGCAGCUGGCGAGAGCGAGCGCGGCGGCACCUCAAGCGGACUCAGUGGCAUCGACUAGUGCCGGCAACGCGGGGCAGGACAAGAACGCGGGCGGCGACAGUGGGAGUAUGGCUUUGCCACCACAAGGCAGGACGUCGCCGGCACCUGAGGACGGUAUCGCCACGGGGCCGGCAGUCAUGGUGGCAGAUGACGACGUGGCCAAUGCGGAUAUGAACAUCCUCGUAGCGGUGCGCGUGCGUCCUCGCACCUCGUUGAUAACGGCCAAGGGAGCACCGUCGACGUCUCCUCUAACUGAUACGGCGGCGCGUCGUCUCUUUCCCGCGUCAUCAGCGUCGUCGCACAGCGCGGAGCAGCAACCGCCAUGCGAGCUGCGCAGCAGCGGCGGCGACUGGGACGAUGCUUUGAGUACGCAGGCGAGUACCGCCGGCGGCGGCUCACUGGUUGAGGAGCGCCAGCGGACGACGAACAGCACCCCCAGCCACAGCGCCACCGUGCGCGUGCGGCGGUCCGCGAGCAGGCGAGCAAUCCUGAAAGCCGAAAAGAACGACACCGGCAACAGCGACAGCAAGGGCAGCGCAUCGAAAGAAGUCUGCGUGAGCGCCGACGCAAGGAACGGCUUCAUCGACUGCGCCGUCGCCGUCGCUGCGAACGCCUCGGGCGGGGCAAGCACGCCGGCGGCGAACGGUGCCGCGGCUGGGCAGCGAAUCCGCACCCUUCGCUUCCGUUUUGACUGCAUCCUCGACGACAGCGUGACGCAGGCGGAUAUCAUGGCGUGCAUCGGUCAGCGCGCGGUGGCGCGGGUGCUGCGGGGCUACCACAGCACCGUGAUGUGCUACGGCCAGACCGGCAGUGGCAAGACCUACACCAUUGCCGGGCCGCACGGCGGAAAGCUGUCGAGGAAGGCGUUGCGGUGGCUGGCUUCGCAGCCCGCGUCAGCCGGGGCGGUCGAGUGCGAUGACAGCAACGUCGAUCAAGAGGAGCAGGUGCGCGUCGCGUCUGACGUUGGCCUGCUUCCCCGCAUACUGAUCCAGCUGUUUCGCGGGCUGGAGGCACGACACGGCGCCGACGGCAGGCUGCAGCAGGCGUCUGCGGCGCCGACGUCAUCGUGGCAGGUUACGCUCAGUGCGCUGGAACUGUACAACAACAAUAUGCGCGACUUGCUGCCGGGUGAGCUUCCCAAGAACGAGGCAGCGACGCUUGGCAAGAAGGACGUCUCUCGCCCAUCAGCCGCGACGCGUCUUCGCCAUCACGGUAACAGCAGCAGCAUGAGUGGCCGCCGCGACCACCGCAAGGCCACCGCGUCAGCUGUCACGGGAGGGCGGGGCCAGCUCUCCGCUUCUCCAUCGCCGUGCGCGGCGCCAAAGCACACACGUGUGUCGCAGCGCGUCAGCUCUCGGUGCGGUAACUCCGCCACGACGCGGGCCCCUCCAACGGCGGCUGCGAGCACACCACGCGCCAACUCCCAUGCUGGGGCCAGCACCGCCAUGGGAUCAGCCAAGACAAUGCCGAUGAAGUGGACCGCACCGACCACCACAAAAGCAGCGCCGCAACUGCAAAUUCGUCUAGGGGCGCCCGCAUCGUCGGCCUCGCAGAGCUCGCCACCGACGAAGCUGAAGAAGGCAAGAGCUGUGUCGCCGCCUCCGUCGAGCUGGGCCUCGCUCCGCCAGCCCGCGCACAACGCCGGCAGCGAAGCUGUGUACAUCGAGGGGCUACGCGAGCACCAAGUGCACGACAUUCACGCAGCGCUGGAGGCAGUCUGGCUGGCGCUGAGGCAGCGGCAGGCGGGCAGCACAGAGCUGAACAAGAGCAGCAGUCGAUCCCAUGUCUUUUUCUUUGUACGCGUCGAGCAGUAUGAGCGACGCUCACGCGACGGAGAGAAGCCCGCGUGGGCCACCCGCCGCUCCACACUGAGCCUUGUCGACCUCGCAGGGUCGGAGCGCGUCAGCCAUACUGGCGCGCACGGCCUGCAGCUCAAGGAGGCACAGAACAUCAAUCGCUCGCUCUCUGUGCUCGGAAACGUGAUGCGCCUGCUGAGCUCGGCGUCCCGCUCGUCGCUCUCCAAAAACUUGGCGACCACCUCGGCCAGCAGUGCUGCUGCACUGACAGGCGCCAGGGCAGACCAGCACAUUCCGUAUCGCGACAGCAAGCUCACGCACAUCUUGCAGAGCAGCCUCGGUGGCAAUGCCAUCACGUUCCUGCUGUGCAACGUGUCACCGGACUCGCGUGAUGCGCAGGAAACGAUGUCGACGCUGCGAUUCGCGAAGCUGUGCAAGAGUGUGAAGAGCAACGCGAGGCUGAACGAGACGACAGCGGACACAGAAGACGCGCAAGCUGCGGCAGAGGCGAAGAUAUGCCAGCUUGCCGUCGAUGCCUCGACCGCGCAGAACCGCCUGCAGCAGCUCGCGACGUACACGUGGUGGCUGGAGGGACACCUCGGUUACUUCGCGGCCGCGAUGAUCCACCAGCAGCAGCAGCAGCAGCAGCUGCGGCGGCGGCUCUCCGGAACGCUGACCACCAGCGCGUCCAUCAGAGCAGUCACCUCAUCAUCUCGCGCGCGUGGUAGCAGCGGCGGUCGAGGUCUCGUCGUACCCGAGGAGACCACAGCGCCGAAGGUGAUCAGCGGCGAACGAAGCGCCGGUGCUGGGAACGGCGGCAUGCAGAGAUGCAACAGCCUCGAAUCGAGCGGCGUCGAGAACAAGGAGGUAGCCGAUUCUGGCGCAGUACCAGAGGGCUGUCGUCGCAGCCCGGCGCCUGCUGGGCCUACGUCGCCGGAGUGGUGGCACCUUUCACCUCGGCCAUCCAGCCCAACAGCGCCGGCUGACGACGACAAGGACGACGGCGGCGGCGGAGCGGCGGAGGCGGAGGCAUAUUGGCGCAGCGCUUCGGCCCGCGCCCUCCUCUCCCCUGCCUACCCCAUUGCGCAGCGCCGCAUGGAGCUACAGCGCAAGCUGAUCGCCGCUGCGGCCGCCGCCAUCACCAUCGAAGAUGCCGCGAUGCUGUCCAUGCUCUAUUCGACGGACGCAGCAGUCGGCGAGGCGGAGGCCACGGCGCGUGACCGCGUUAUAGACGGCACCAACCCGCUAGAGGUCUCCUCAACGGCGAGCACGGCAAGCACACGCACCAGGGACGGGGGCAGUGGCGUGCUCGUGUCUAAACCCACCGCGAUACCCGUCUCGAUGGGCGUCAGCUCGGCCUCAGAGGAGACGAGGGCACCUACUCGUCAUCUUCGGUCAUCUCCGCCGGAGCACGCGCCCGCUCUGCAGCCCUCGCCGAGCAUGGCGGCAUUUUCGUCUGUGCCGCUCCCCUCCCUCACUGCGAACCAAAAGCAGCCGCGUCUUGAGUGCCCCAUGAACGCCAUUGACACCACCCUUGCCGAGGAGCGGGCAGCGCGGGCAGCGACGCAGGCGCGGCUGGUGGAGGUGGAACAAUCGAACCUACUGCUGCGCUUGCGCCUCGCCGAGCUGCACGGACGCAUGCGGCUGGAGGGGGGCAGCACACACUUCGCUGAGGGUCAUCAACUGAUGAAUGCGGAGAAGGCGACGAGGAGGACUGUAGGAAAGGACUACUCUUGGGCGCCGUCAUCAUUGGCAACCGCACCAGCACCGCUGCCUUCGCCCGCUGAGGCAAGCGCAUCGCGGGUGCUGUGGCCGCCGCACUACUCCCGCGCGUCCCAUGAUGCCUCCCUCAAAGUCUUUCUUGCGCGCUGUGGUUUCGCCGCGAUGGACUCGAUGGCGCCCGCUGACGCGGCGAUGCUGCCACGGCGUCUGGCCUAAGCACAUCAGCAGGCGCUCCGUGAGGGCAAGGCGCACCAGAAGCCGCAGUGGACCCGCGGUGACGAGGGUGACACUGAAGCAAUGCAAGACUUGCCGGAGCGGUGCGACGAAGACGGCACCGCCCGCAUGGCGCGUGCAGCGUUUGGGGUGAUUGCGACGGCAACGCGAGCACUGCGUCCUGUUUUCUAAAGGCUUUCGGCGGCCACACCAACACCCAUCGAGGAUAGCAUUGGAAAGUUCUUCGCGUACGUGUCUGCAGCUGCCAUGGAUCACCCCCACCUCGCCCUCGCCCUCGUCAUCGUGCGUGCGUCCCGCAAGAGCGAGGACUCUAGUCCCUCGGAAGACAUGAAGGACUUCUCGAUGGAAGAGGAGGAGGAGGGAGGCAGCGCACGAGCACCGCCGUCGAUAGCAGUGCUGGUCAUGGUGAGGGUCAUGCGACAUGAUGUAACCAGGGCUACGGCGUCUGUGGCUGUACGUGUAGGUGUAUGUCUAUGUAUGUUAGUGCAGAUUCUUUUGCUAGUUUUUGGUUCUAAGCGGUGGUGACCACUGCCACCAUCACCCCUCCCCCUCGUGGCCCGAUUCUUUACAUGCGCGCCUGAUUCUGUACGGAUGCGUACCGUCGCUGCCCCACCACCACCCACUUCUCCUCCCUCGUUGCACAGAUGGCUCAUCAGUACAGUCGUUGUAGCGCGUUCAUCACUAAUGUUUUCUUUUCUUGUUGUCAGCCUCUCCCCCCUCCUCUCUUGAUGAACUUCGCCGCCCUCCUCCCACCCUCACCGUCUCUCCCCCUUCCACACAUAGUCAAAUAGGCAGACGCCCGGGGGGGGGGGGCGGAGGAGGGGGAGCCACACACACACACACGUCCCCUCCCUCCCCCCCGCGUCGUCCUGCACCCGUCCUUUUUCUUCGAGCUUGCCCAUAUAUAUUCCCCCCCCCACACACACACACGCACAUGCUUGCAUGCAUCGUAUGCCUGCACGACAGCGCCUCGCCUUCGACAAGGCCUUCGCUGUCCUUCUCUCUCUCUAUAACAAUGUCUGUCGAGCCUCUCCCUAAUCCAUCCGCAAUACUUUCGUGUGUGUGUGUGUGUCCUCUGUUCCACAUGUCGCUGCUGCCGCCGCUGCUGGUGCUGGGUGGACGGCAGGCUCGUCACCCUGACGGCGACGACGCGCAUGAUGUCGGGGACGGUCUUUACGAGUUGCCUGAGGCGGCACUUCUCUCUUCGUGUUUCUACGUUUUCGAUGUGAUUUCAGGCAGUGAUGGUGGCGUUUCUGCUGCUGCUGCUGCCGUUGUCUCUUGCGUCUCUACUUGCCUCUUGUUCGCACUUGCCUCCAUCGAC
RNAcentral lists this unclassified non-coding RNA (6040 nucleotides) under Leishmania donovani. RNAcentral's name for it is "gene:LdHU3.05.0850(CDS-product:kinesin-like_prote in)". The record is from RNAcentral. Lineage: Eukaryota; Euglenozoa; Kinetoplastea; Trypanosomatida; Trypanosomatidae.